Molecule: small nuclear RNA, 19 nt
Filed under: Arabidopsis thaliana (thale cress)
Lineage: Eukaryota; Viridiplantae; Streptophyta; Magnoliopsida; Brassicales; Brassicaceae
Description: snRNA_04680
Source: RNAcentral
GUAAAUCAAUUGAUGUAGG